AACAUUUCUUUUAGAAAAUAUUAAAAGUCUUACCUGCCCAGUGUGCUAAAUGUUAUAUAAAUGGCUGCGGUAUCCUAACUGCACUAAGGUAGCAUAAUUAAUUGUCUUCUGAUUGGUGACUUGAUUGAAUGGUGUAAUGAGGAAAAGUCUUUUUUGUUAUUAAUAGGAAAUUAUAUGUUCAGGUUAAAAUACCUUAUAUAAAAGGAAAGACGAGAAGACCCUGUUGAGUUUUCAGUUAAAAACUGUUAAAUGGGAAAUUUGGCUCUUAUCUAGAGCUUUUUUGAUCCUGAAUAAAAAAUUAUUUGGAUAUAGGAUAAAGUUACCACAGGGAUAACAGGACAAUAUUUAUUGAGAGUUCAAAUCGAAAUAAAUGGUUGUUACCUCGAUGUUGAAUCGAAAUUCCUCCGUGAUGCAGCAAUUACAGGAGUAGGUCUGUUCGACCUAUAAAAUUUCACGUGAUUUGAGUU
This 467-nucleotide ribosomal RNA is filed under the name Echinoplana celerrima. RNAcentral's name for it is "partial large subunit ribosomal RNA". It matches the Rfam family "Bacterial large subunit ribosomal RNA", at positions 1812 to 2611 of the family's 2925-position model. The record is from RNAcentral. Lineage: Eukaryota; Metazoa; Platyhelminthes; Polycladida; Gnesiocerotidae.